This is a non-coding RNA of Acanthosepion pharaonis, 111 nucleotides long. The record is from the annotation of a GenBank genome assembly. NCBI's taxonomy places the organism in Eukaryota, Metazoa, Mollusca, Cephalopoda, Sepiida, Sepiidae.
CGGCCAUAUAGCGCUGAAUCACCGGUUCCCGUACGAUCUGCGAAGUUAAGCAACGUUGAGCCUGGUCAAUACCUAGAUGGGUGACCGCUUGGGAAUACUGGAUGCUGUAAG